CUUUUUGUGCGCCUUGUUAAAGAAACAUUCUUCGUCACACAAUGGGAAAAGUAGUACGAAAUUAGGGGACGGUGUUCUUCCAUGCCCUGUUACAGGAAAGAACUUUAUGGUAUAGAUGGAGCCUUUGCUUGGAGACAGAUAAGUACAGCUACUACCUCUCAUCAAAGAAGUCUCUCUUUACAGUAAAUGGAGACCAUCACAGAAAACCACAACUUGAUACGAUGCAGAGGUCAAUGGAUUGUUAAGUUCAGCUCCAAUGGUUACAGCUACCUCAGAGCUCCUUCAUCUACUACAGCUUAGAGAACACAGAGGAAGAUGGAGCAACACCAAGAAGCUGCUGUGAAAGUCUCUUUGAAAUAGACAAGAUUGGAAUGGCAACAUUCAUGGGCCAUGCCAAUGUGGAGGAGGAAACUUUUUGAAGGGUUCUAUACCUAGACAAAAAACUAUAGACAAGUAAUGAUGGCUGAUAGGAUUUGCUUCUCCCUGGGAUGAGCCUCCAUAUUGGCUGGUGUGGUGGCUUAAGAAUGGCCUGGCCUCUACAGGCUCAUCUAAUUGAAUGCUUGGUUACCAGGGAGUGUCAAUAUUGGAAAAAAAAUUAAGUGGUCUGGACUUGUUGGAGGAAAUGUGCCACUUGGAGUGGGUUUUGAGUUUUCAAAAGUGCAUGCCAGCAGUCUCUUCCUCUCCGCCUAUAAAUCAGGAUGUAGAACUCAGCUACUUUUAUAGCACUCUAUCUGUCUGCAUGCACCCAUGCUCCCUGCCAUGAUGAUAUGGACUAACUUCUGAAAUUGUAAACAAGCCUCAACUAAAUGCUUUGUUUUAUA
This is a long non-coding RNA of Rattus norvegicus (Norway rat), 821 nucleotides long. RefSeq lists it as uncharacterized. The record is from RefSeq and is a predicted model, not a curated record. Lineage: Eukaryota; Metazoa; Chordata; Mammalia; Rodentia; Muridae.